RNAcentral lists this unclassified non-coding RNA (272 nucleotides) under Hevea brasiliensis (rubber tree). The record is from RNAcentral. Lineage: Eukaryota; Viridiplantae; Streptophyta; Magnoliopsida; Malpighiales; Euphorbiaceae.
GGCGUCUAUACCCUGUCUGAGGCUUAUGUGGUGGUUUAUGAUGAGGUUUAUCAGCAGGUGGGUCAGGUUCAUCAGCGAGUGAGUCAGGUUCAUCAGCGAGUGAGUGUUUUGGGAAUGGUUUAGGUUCAUAACCGAGUAAGUGAUUUCUGGGUGGUGUCACUUUGUCACAUUUAGCAGCUUCACUGCUAUCAUCAGCGAGUGAUGAGGGGAUUGUGGCGUGAAUCACUGCUACUCCGAGCAGGAACAACACUAGCAAGCAUUUAGGAGAAGAC